AGUGAACGCUGGCGGUAGGCCUAACACAUGCAAGUCGAACGGCAGCACAGGAGAGCUUGCUCUCUGGGUGGCGAGUGGCGGACGGGUGAGGAAUACAUCGGAAUCUACUUUUUCGUGGGGGAUAACGUAGGGAAACUUACGCUAAUACCGCAUACGACCUACGGGUGAAAGCGGUGGACCUUCGGGCCUUGCGCGAUUGAAUGAGCCGAUGUCGGAUUAGCUAGUUGGCGGGGUAAAGGCCCACCAAGGCGACGAUCCGUAGCUGGUCUGAGAGGAUGAUCAGCCACACUGGAACUGAGACACGGUCCAGACUCCUACGGGAGGCAGCAGUGGGGAAUAUUGGACAAUGGGCGCAAGCCUGAUCCAGCCAUACCGCGUGGGUGAAGAAGGCCUUCGGGUUGUAAAGCCCUUUUGUUGGGAAAGAAAUCCAGCUGGCUAAUACCCGGUUGGGAUGACGGUACCCAAAGAAUAAGCACCGGCUAACUUCGUGCCAGCAGCCGCCGUAA
This 506-nucleotide ribosomal RNA is filed under the name uncultured bacterium. Its description in RNAcentral is "partial 16S ribosomal RNA". It matches the Rfam family "Bacterial small subunit ribosomal RNA", at positions 29 to 523 of the family's 1533-position model. The record is from RNAcentral.